UGGGGAAUAUUGGACAAUGGGCGAAAGCCUGAUCCAGCCAUGCCGCGUGUGUGAAGAAGGUCUUCGGAUUGUAAAGCACUUUAAGUUGGGAGGAAGGGCAGUAACCUAAUACGUUUCUGUCUUGACGUUACCGACAGAAUAAGCACCGGCUAACUCUGUGCCAGCAGCCGCGGUAAUACAGAGGGUGCAAGCGUUAAUCGGAAUUACUGGGCGUAAAGCGCGCGUAGGUGGUUUGUUAAGUUGGAUGUGAAAUCCCCGGGCUCAACCUGGGAACUGCAUCCAAAACUGGCAAGCUAGAGUACGGUAGAGGGUGGUGGAAUUUCCUGUGUAGCGGUGAAAUGCGUAGAUAUAGGAAGGAACACCAGUGGCGAAGGCGACCACCUGGACUGAUACUGACACUGAGGUGCGAAAGCGUGGGGAGCAAACAGGAUUAGAUACCCCCGUAGUCCCUGAGCGGGC
Molecule: ribosomal RNA, 459 nt
Filed under: uncultured bacterium
Lineage: Bacteria
Description: bacterial SSU rRNA
Rfam family: Bacterial small subunit ribosomal RNA
Source: RNAcentral